GUUUCAGAGCUAGUGGCUGUAGGAACUACUGGGGAGCAACAUCAUUUAGCAGCAAAGAUAUUCUUUCUCAGCAAAUUGCUUGAAGCCAAGGGGAAGAAGCUUCCAGGAAAUGUGGUGUCCUCUGAUCCUCCUUCCUUCCUGAGAACUGGGGUCCUUGCAGAUCCACCAAGUCCGGAGGUGCCCAGUGGCCCCGCAUUUCCUUCCACCAGAGUCAGCUGAAUUCUGAUAAAAACUUAGAAGAACGUUCCUCCCUCCACGGGACUCAGCCCUGGGACUGGGGUGGAGCUGGGGACCAGACCCAGUGGAACCCUCAUUGUUUAUCCUCUCUCAUCUCUGAUCCCAGGCACUCAGGUCCCAACCGUUCUCUUCCUAGCCUCUUUAAUUCUAUGGAAAUCACUCAGACAUUGAGAGAUCCCUGUUGUGAGAGGUUGGGAGACUCAAGCUCUACAAGCCAGUCUCAGCUGAGGCUGAGCCUGAAUUAUUCCUUGUGUCCCUGCAACAAUUCUCCUUCUCAGCACUGCAAAUGAUAUUUGUUUCCCAAAAGCUAGGAACAUGCGAGG
Molecule: long non-coding RNA, 560 nt
Filed under: Pongo abelii (Sumatran orangutan)
Lineage: Eukaryota; Metazoa; Chordata; Mammalia; Primates; Hominidae
Description: lincRNA
Source: RNAcentral